Molecule: ribosomal RNA, 664 nt
Filed under: uncultured bacterium
Lineage: Bacteria
Description: bacterial SSU rRNA
Rfam family: Bacterial small subunit ribosomal RNA
Source: RNAcentral
AGAGUUUGAUUCCUGGCUCAGAUUGAACGCUGGCGGCAGGCCUAACACAUGCAAGUCGAGCGGAUGAAGAGAGCUUGCUCUCUGAUUCAGCGGCGGACGGGUGAGUAAUGCCUAGGAAUCUGCCUAGUAGUGGGGGACAACGUUUCGAAAGGAACGCUAAUACCGCAUACGUCCUACGGGAGAAAGUGGGGGAUCUUCGGACCUCACGCUAUUAGAUGAGCCUAGGUCGGAUUAGCUAGUUGGUAGGGUAACGGCCUACCAAGGCGACGAUCCGUAACUGGUCUGAGAGGAUGAUCAGUCACACUGGAACUGAGACACGGUCCAGACUCCUACGGGAGGCAGCAGUGGGGAAUAUUGGACAAUGGGGCGAAAGCCUGAUCCAGCCAUGCCGCGUGUGUGAAGAAGGCCCUCGGGUCGUAAAGCACUUUAAGUUGGGAGGAAGGGCUCAUAGCGAAUACCUGUGAGUUUUGACGUUACCAACAGAAUAAGCACCGGCUAACUUCGUGCCAGCAGCCGCGGUAAUACGAAGGGUGCAAGCGUUAAUCGGAAUUACUGGGGCGUAAAGCGCGCGUAGGUGGCUUGAUAAGUUGGAUGUGAAAUCCCCCGGGGCUCAACCCUGGGAACUGCAUCCAAAACUGUUGGGCUAGAGUGUGGGAAAAAGGGG